Molecule: ribosomal RNA, 401 nt
Filed under: uncultured bacterium
Lineage: Bacteria
Description: bacterial SSU rRNA
Rfam family: Bacterial small subunit ribosomal RNA
Source: RNAcentral
UGGCGGACGGGUGAGUAACACGUUGGAACCUGCCCCGAAGAGGGGGAUAACUACCCGAAAGGGUGGCCAAUACCCCAUAUACUCCGAUUUAUUCGGAGGAAAGCUUUUGCGCUUCGGGAGGGGCCUGCGUCCGAUUAGGUAGUUGGAGGGGUAACGGCCCACCAAGCCUAUGAUCGGUAGCCGACCUGAGAGGGUGAUCGGCCACAUUGGAACUGAGAUACGGCCCAGACUCCUACGGGAGGCAGCAGUGAGGAAUAUUCCACAAUGGGGGAAACCCUGAUGGAGCGAUGCCGCGUGCAGGAAGACGCUUUUCGGAGUGUAAACUGCUUUUAAUAGGGAAGAUCAUGACGGUACCUAUAGAAUAAGGACCGGCUAACUACGUGCCAGCAGCCGCGGUAAUA